GGAGGGGUGUCCGAGAGGUCGAAGGUGACAGACUCGAAAUCUGUUGUACCGCAAGGUACCCAGGGUUCGAAUCCCUGCCCCUCCGCCA
Molecule: transfer RNA, 88 nt
Filed under: Geobacter sp.
Lineage: Bacteria; Pseudomonadati; Thermodesulfobacteriota; Desulfuromonadia; Geobacterales; Geobacteraceae
Also listed under: 4 other names
Description: tRNA-Ser
Rfam family: tRNA
About the family: Transfer RNA (tRNA) molecules are approximately 80 nucleotides in length.
Source: RNAcentral